CUGCAACACCGCAACGAAAUCAAUGCUUGUUGUUAUGUUAUGACAUUUUAUUGUUGUGAUUGGGAAGAUUUUUAAAUCAAUGGUUCAGUUUGCUGUCCGUCGUCUGCGAAUGCGAAUGUCACCAUCGGAAUUCACAUCGAUUCAUAGUCAAGAGCCAGCCAGAGAACGAGUGCAAACUUCAGGCAGACGACAGAUAUUUUGGAUGUCCACAGCAACAACAGCUAGAAUCAUAGAGAUGGCUGCCGUAAUGAAGCAAGCGAUCUUCCUGGAGGAUAAAACCUCCUUCGAUGUGGAACGAAAACUUAACAGAUUUCAGAGAAAAUCUCUGCUAGGAAAGUUCUCCAAUGGUGGUUGCCAAGCAAUCUGUGACACUGGGACCUCUGUUUUGACCCAGCCAACAUCAGAUGUGGAAUAGAUUCUAAGCUUGAUUGGAGCUGCACCUCCUGUCAAUAUCAUCAAAGUGAAGGAAACAGAGAUUGGAGAGACACUUUGCAAGAGUGGAUUCAUCAGAAUAGACAUCUUUAAACCCAUGGGCGCUCUUUGGAUCCUUGGUGACAUCUUCAUUGGUAAUAACUACCCGGAGUUAACCAAGAUGGGAGAGACACUUUGCAAGAGUGGAUUUAUCAGAAUAGACAUCUAUAAACUGACGGUGCUCUUUGGAUCCUCGGUGACAUCUUCAUUGGUAAUAACUACUCGGAGUUAACCAAGAUGGGAGAGACAAUUUGCAAGAGUGGAUUCAUCAGAAUAGACACAUCUAUAAACCUCUUUGGAUCCUCGGUGACAUCUUCAUUGGUAAAUACUACUCCGAGAUUGAUUGAGUGAACAACCCUGAAGGUUUCACUGAUACUGUCAAGAAAAUCAAGGCUGGAUAUUUGAACCUGAUUUGUUAAUCAGAAGGAAUAUCAUUGUUGGGGUAAGGAAAAGUAUAAAUGGGCCGAACAAAAAUAUAAUCAUGUUUCUUAUUACACUGAAUAUGGGUAGCAGGUUUGUGGCCCAUUCAAACAGUGCUGAUUGGCAUUAUUAUGCAACACAAAAAUGAGCAGAAAUUAAAUACAAUCAGAUUGACCAUCAGUCAAACCUGACAUGUGUGAAAAAUAAUUAUCAAUAUUUCAAAAAAGAAAAAAGAAAAAAAAAAACAUUUUGGUUUAAAGAAGAUGCCCACCUGUUAUGAAGUACAGGACUUUAUUGAGUUUUUUUCAGCCAAGCAUUUCAAGAAAAAGAAACCAUUUUGACAAACAACUACCUACCCAUUAUUUUUUCAGGAAAACGUGACUAUCUUUUUAUUUGGUCAAACUUUGAAAUAAAAUCAUAAAAAGCUGUGCCCACCUGUGUACCACCUAUUUUUUCAGUUACCUACCUACCAAUUUGUAAGUGUAAUGGGAAACUUAACUUUAUUUUUGUUUGGCCCAACUAUUACAAAAUAAUAGUUGCCCACCUUAUACCAACAAUCCAGUGUAAUAGGAAACAUUAUAUUUUUGUUGGCCCAACUGAAAACAGUUAUAAAAUAACGUGAAAUAGGGGCCAACAUUCUAUAGCGAUAACGUUUUAUAUCUUAACAAUUUUUGUUAAGCCCAACUAAAAGAAAAAAGAUGUAGCCCACCUGUUACCCAAAUUCAGUGCAAAAGGAAACAUUUAUUUAAUUUUGUGUGGCCCAACUUUGAACAUACUGUAUUUUGUGGUGUUUUUAAAGGCAGUGGACACUAUUGGUAAUGACUCAAAAUAAUUAUUAUCAUCAAACCGUACUUGGUAAUG
Molecule: long non-coding RNA, 1752 nt
Organism: Asterias rubens (European starfish)
Lineage: Eukaryota; Metazoa; Echinodermata; Asteroidea; Forcipulatida; Asteriidae
Exons: 4
Source: RefSeq, a predicted model, not a curated record